Molecule: long non-coding RNA, 308 nt
Filed under: Mytilus galloprovincialis (Mediterranean mussel)
Lineage: Eukaryota; Metazoa; Mollusca; Bivalvia; Mytilida; Mytilidae
Source: RNAcentral
UUUAAUUUAAAAAAAGCAAGGAAAACAAGCACUUUAAAUUUGGCACAUGGAGAAUAAGCACUUUUAAUCUCGAGACACGUAUAAUUAAAUGAACGAGGCACCCAUCUUGCACGACCGAACAUAAAAUAAAAAAGUAAAAAACACGUUGAUCGUAAAAAAAAACCGGCGAAUAGGUUUCAAAAAUAUUACCCUAUUAAUAGAACAUCACGUUUUAUUUCAUCAGUCAUUUUGAAAUCUUCAGAAAAGAUUUCAGGGUAAGGAGGCAUAGUAGACGCACUUAUUGUAUUCUGAAACCCCGAGGACUCAGC